AGGAGAAACGUGAGGUUGUUGUUGAGAAGAACACCAAGCUGGAGUAGCAGAUGAUUGCACUAUCCACCUCUUUCCUGUCUCAAGGUAAGUGUCCAUUUAUCCAGCCUUGUAUGUGACUAUGGCAGCGGUUUCUUCGACUUUGUGGGUUGGGGGCAGGAGGCAAUCUCGUUGAUGGCAGCGCGUGAG
This is a long non-coding RNA of Lolium rigidum, 186 nucleotides long. RefSeq lists it as uncharacterized. The record is from RefSeq and is a predicted model, not a curated record. The transcript has 3 exons. Lineage: Eukaryota; Viridiplantae; Streptophyta; Magnoliopsida; Poales; Poaceae.